This 490-nucleotide ribosomal RNA is filed under the name uncultured bacterium. RNAcentral's name for it is "bacterial SSU rRNA". It matches the Rfam family "Bacterial small subunit ribosomal RNA", at positions 32 to 491 of the family's 1533-position model. The record is from RNAcentral.
AAUCAACGCUGGCGGCGUGCCUCAGACAUGCAAGUCGAACGCGAAAUUUCCCUUCGGGGAGAAAGUAGAGUGGCGCACGGGUGAGUAACACGUAGGUAAUUUGCCUUUGGGUGGGGAAUAACUCAGGGAAACUUGAGCUAAUACCGCAUAAUGCAGCGGCUCGACAUCGAGACAGUUGUUAAAGCGGGGGAUUGGAGCAAUCCGACCUCGCGCCUAAAGAGAAGCCUGCGGCAGAUUAGCUAGUUGGUAAGGUAAUGGCUUACCAAGGCGACGAUCUGUAACCGGCCUGAGAGGGCGGUCGGUCACACUGACACUGACAUACGGGUCAGACUCCUACGGGAGGCAGCAGUCGGGAAUUUUGGGCAAUGGGCGCAAGCCUGACCCAGCAACGCCGCGUGAAGGAUGAAAUUUUUCGGAAUGUAAACUUCGCAAGAACAGGAAGAAUAAGUGUGGGACAAUACCCCACAUGAUGACGGUACUGUUUGUAAGC